GUACACAGAAUUCCAGGUAUUGUGUGCUGAUGAUGUAUUCAUACUCCUACCCACCUCAAACUAUACCACCAUUCCUUACAGAUGGUGUUCCAUUUCAGGUGUUCUUUACAGGGUAGAUCAAGCAAUCGUUGAUUUGAAUUGUCCAGCCCAACAUGUCAAAACUGGAACAGGCUUUGACAAUCCUGCAACUGCCAAGUGACCGCAUUGCAGGAUCUCAGUGUUGCCCAGGAUCUCAGGGGCACGAGCAGAAUUCACAUUAUUCGAUGACACUUCCCAGCAAGCUACCACUGUCUUCAUUUGCACCACUGUCAUACAGGGGGUACACUGAGCCCUAAGACUGAUUCUUAUCUAAGCACACAGAAAGCCAUCACCUUGUUUUCCCAGGACUUCAUCACAGAGUCUACAAACAAGAACAUUACAGUGGUACUUUUUUUUUUUUUUUUUUUAAGGAAAUUGGUAGAUAGAUCUGAACUGUUGCCGGACACAGACCAGUGGGAAGGUCAGUUCUUACACCUUUGUUGGUGCCCUUUCUUCCUCAACUGAAAUUUUGCUCUGUAAUCCUUUAUAUAAGAUCCUUUUCUCAUUCCGCUGGAUUGGGCUUGUAUUUUUUAUUUAUAAACGUGACCUUUCUGUAUUUGUUUCACUAACCUAUUUUUCUAUUCCUGUACUAAUGUCUUAAUUGAAAACAACGUAACAUUAGCCUUAUGAUAUUUGAUAGUGCAUAAUAGAGCAGUUCACACUGUUUUUCACAGUCCUGUUGGCUAAGUUAAUGGUUUUUUUUCCUAUAUUAAUGAAGAUAGUUUUCUCAAAUUAUAACAACAGCUGUUUGGCAUACU
This is a long non-coding RNA of Suncus etruscus (white-toothed pygmy shrew), 836 nucleotides long. RefSeq lists it as uncharacterized. The transcript is spliced from 2 exons. NCBI's taxonomy places the organism in Eukaryota, Metazoa, Chordata, Mammalia, Eulipotyphla, Soricidae. The record is from RefSeq and is a predicted model, not a curated record.